This 536-nucleotide long non-coding RNA is filed under the name Monodelphis domestica (gray short-tailed opossum). RNAcentral's name for it is "lncRNA (ENSMODG00000002763.3)". The record is from RNAcentral. Lineage: Eukaryota; Metazoa; Chordata; Mammalia; Didelphimorphia; Didelphidae.
AAGCUGUGCCACCUGCCCCACCCUUUCCCCACUCCCUGUGGGCGUGGGCUGGCCCUUUCACUACAUAAAGGCGUCCACAGCUGCAGCAGCUGUAUUGAGAGGAAGCUUGGAAGCAUCUCAUCAGAUACAUUCCUCCCAAGGAUCCAGACCCCAGCUCCACCCAGUCUUGCCCACUGCAGCCCAAUCAGCCAGCCCCUUCAAGAUGGCCAGCAAGGGCUUCCAGGACCUGAAGAAACAGGCAGAGGAAACUGCCCAGGAAGCGGCUGUGGACCACUUGAUCAAGACCACCCAGGAGGGCAUCGACAAAACAACCAAUCAGGCUGCAGAAGCCAUUUCAAGCUUUGGGAAAAAAUACGGGCUUCAGAAAUGAUGGUCUAUGGAAAGAAGAAAAGGAAUAACCCCCCUCUCUCCUCAAGCCCCAAUCCUCACCUCUUCAUCAGGCUAGGCCAUGGCCAGGGCUGCCAUUUUGAAAGGUCCCAUGGAGUCUGAUCUCUUAUUAAAUGAAUUCCUUUCAUGUGGAGGGAAUGGAAACCCCA